GACGAACGCUGGCGGCGUGCUUAACACAUGCAAGUCGAGCGGUAAGGCCCUUCGGGGUACACGAGCGGCGAACGGGUGAGUAACACGUGGGUGACCUGCCCUCCACUUCGGGAUAAGCCUGGGAAACUGGGUCUAAUACCGGAUAGGACCUCCUCAUGCAUGUGGGGUGGUGGAAAGUCCGUGUCUUUGAUGCGGUCGGUGGGGGAUGGGCCCGCGGUCUAUCAGCUUGUUGGUGGGGUGANGGCCCACCAAGGCGACGACGGAUAGCCGGCCUGAGAGGGUGAUCGGCCACACUGGGACUGAGACACGGCCCAGACUCCUACGGGAGGCAGCAGU
This 336-nucleotide ribosomal RNA is filed under the name uncultured bacterium. RNAcentral's name for it is "bacterial SSU rRNA". It matches the Rfam family "Bacterial small subunit ribosomal RNA", at positions 28 to 355 of the family's 1533-position model. The record is from RNAcentral.